Molecule: transfer RNA, 64 nt
Filed under: Ceriodaphnia dubia
Lineage: Eukaryota; Metazoa; Arthropoda; Branchiopoda; Diplostraca; Daphniidae
Description: tRNA-Met
Source: RNAcentral
GGACAAGUAAGCUAAAUUAAGCUAGUGGGCUCAUGCCCCAUUGAUAGGUUUGACCUCUUUUCCA